CUGGUUCCAGGGUCUCCGCGGGUCCCGCAGCCUCGGUGUGACCCUCUAACCAGGGUACCCGGGGCUACUUGGACCCAUCCGUGAAGAUCCGUCACGUCCCACCCGGGCCUGGGGUCGCUCACGUCCCUCGCUCUGGUUGUAGUAAACUCAAUGCAAGAGGGGUUUUGUUAGAGCUUCUGAAACUCUCACUGAUGCACAGCAUCAAAACUACUGAUCUCACAGAGACCUCCAACAUGACAGUCCAAACCCAAGGAAGCAAAGACCAGCACUCACCAAGCAGAGGUGCACCUGCAUCUGGCCAUCUGAACCUGACAGGGGAUGCUGAGGGCAGAAGACAUUGGACAUCAGCGCCUGAGAAAUGCCCAGCAGACACUGGCACUGUGUGGUGACAGGAUGGCAUGGAUGGACAGAUGGUCAUAAAAUUCAGUUCCUUUAAGUAAACACAGAUAUCUAGAUUCUUAUUUUGAAAUCUACUAAGGACACGUUAAGCACACACACAAAUGGAGAGAAGAGUACAGGGAAGUCCCGUUCCCUGCACUCAGCCAUAGCCUUGAAG
Ictidomys tridecemlineatus (thirteen-lined ground squirrel) is the source of this 556-nucleotide long non-coding RNA. RefSeq lists it as uncharacterized. The record is from RefSeq and is a predicted model, not a curated record. NCBI's taxonomy places the organism in Eukaryota, Metazoa, Chordata, Mammalia, Rodentia, Sciuridae.